RNAcentral lists this ribosomal RNA (449 nucleotides) under uncultured bacterium. RNAcentral's name for it is "bacterial SSU rRNA". It matches the Rfam family "Bacterial small subunit ribosomal RNA", at positions 29 to 506 of the family's 1533-position model. The record is from RNAcentral.
ACUAACGCUGGCGGCGUGCCUAACACAUGCAAGUCGAACGAAGUAGCAAUACUUAGUGGCAGACGGGUGAGUAACGCGUAGGUAAUGUGCCCUCCUGCGGGGGAUACCGUUCCGAAAGGGACGUUAAUUCCGCAUAACAUGCUUUAGGGGCAUCUCUAGAGCAUCAAACUUCCGGGGUAGGGGGAGCAACCUGCGUUCUAUCAGCUUGUUGGUGGGGUAACGGCCUACCAAGGCUACGACGGAUAACUGGUCUGAGAGGAUGACCAGUCACACUGGGACUGAGACACGGCCCAGACUCCUACGGGAGGCAGCAGUGAGGAAUAUUGCGCAAUGGGCGAAAGCCUGACGCAGCGACGCCGCGUGGAGGAUGAAGGCCUUCGGGUUGUAAACUCCUGUCAGUGGGGAAGAGAACGGACGGUACCCACUGAGGAAGCUUCGGCUAACUACGU